This 245-nucleotide ribosomal RNA is filed under the name uncultured bacterium. Its description in RNAcentral is "partial 16S ribosomal RNA". It matches the Rfam family "Bacterial small subunit ribosomal RNA", at positions 524 to 768 of the family's 1533-position model. The record is from RNAcentral.
UACGUAGGUGGCAAGCGUUGUCCGGAAUUACUGGGCGUAAAGGGCGUGUAGGCGGCCUUUUAAGUCAGACGUGAAAUCUCUGGGCUUAACCCAGAAAUUGCGUUUGAAACUGGAGGGCUUGAGGAUCGGAGAGGGCAGUGGAAUUCCCAGUGUAGCGGUGAAAUGCGUAGAUAUUGGGAGGAACACCAGUGGCGAAGGCGACUGCCUGGACGACACCUGACGCUGAGGCGCGAAAGCUAGGGGAG